Non-coding RNA from Paramuricea clavata, 299 nucleotides. The record is from the annotation of a GenBank genome assembly. Lineage: Eukaryota; Metazoa; Cnidaria; Anthozoa; Malacalcyonacea; Plexauridae.
CCCGUCUCCGCGGUCCCUGUCACUUCCAUAUAAACAGCCCCUUAUUGACUAGCAGAUAAUAACAGGAAUUGCACCCAGUGAACAUGCUCUAAUUAGGCUAAGGCCCGUUUCAUACGCCGUAUUUCACAUGUGCCGAAUACAUUAAAAACAAUAGGUAAUGAGGCAUUUCAGCUCAUUAUUUAUUGCCUUUAAUGCAUUCGGCACAUGUGAAGUACGGCGUAUGAAACGGGCCUAAGUAUAAUUUUAGUAAUGUGGUUUUCAAUAAAUAUAGAUUGCUUGAUAUUUUGUCUAUAUCCGCC